MicroRNA precursor from Sciurus vulgaris (Eurasian red squirrel), 87 nucleotides. Ensembl annotates it as microRNA 124-3. Its record names the gene MIR124-3. The record is from Ensembl. NCBI's taxonomy places the organism in Eukaryota, Metazoa, Chordata, Mammalia, Rodentia, Sciuridae.
UGAGGGCCCCUCUGCGUGUUCACAGCGGACCUUGAUUUAAUGUCUAUACAAUUAAGGCACGCGGUGAAUGCCAAGAGAGGCGCCUCC